This is a long non-coding RNA of Herpailurus yagouaroundi (jaguarundi), 866 nucleotides long. RefSeq lists it as uncharacterized. NCBI's taxonomy places the organism in Eukaryota, Metazoa, Chordata, Mammalia, Carnivora, Felidae. The record is from RefSeq and is a predicted model, not a curated record. The transcript has 3 exons.
AGGCUGCCCGGACGCCGGCCCCCGCCCGCCUCCCUGAGAGCGCCGCAGCCCGGCCUGCGCUGGAUUCACCAAAUCCUGGAAGGGAGACUUCAGGACCGCAGACCGUCCACAGAGGCCCUCUGCCCGGCGCGGCCCAGCCCGCCCCUCCUGCCCCAAUCCUGGGCUCCUUCCCGCCACCCUGUCCCCGCAGGCCUCACUAAGACACCUCCCCUUGGCCUGGCUGGCGUCCCUCUGCCCCCACCUCCUCUCCCAGCCUCCUGGACCCUAGAUCGUCCCCACGGGAGACGCCCCCCACCUGCACCCUGGUGGUGCUGGACAUGGGGAACGCCAGCCGGGGGCGCAGCCAGCCCCUCCUACCCGGCCUCCGGGACUCGCACGGAGCCCAGGCCUGGCCACCCCCCCCCAGCUCCCGUACCUCCCCUCCCCUGGCUCCUGGCCCAGUGAGCCCCAGCCUCAGGCGUCUAGUCUGUGAAUGGGGCGGCAACCACAGCCUGGCUGGCUGUUUGCGCUCCUGAGCCUCAGUUUCCCAAUAUGUAAAUGGGGAGCAAGAGGAGGACAGCAUGCCCCAUCUCUGCCCUGAGAGCCCCACGAAGGAUGCCGGUACCUGGAAUCCAGGACCCGAAGGACGCCCCCCAGGCCUGAGCUAGUUCCCGCAGCUGCCCCCCCCCCCGCCCCACUUCAGGCCAACAUGCACCCCGAGCCUGCCCAGCCGGCCCUGCCCUGGUCUGGGGCUCCGGGCCUUGGGAAGAGGCAAAGCCCAGGCGAGAGGGAGCCACUGAAGGUUUCCAGCCAGGGAGUGGUGUUCGGAAGCAGGCUCCAGAGGUGUCCCGAGAAGGAGGGCCAGCGGGGGUCGAGAGCAGCAGAGC